GAUGAAGAACGUAGUGAAAUGCGAUAAGUAGUGUGAAUUGCAGAAUUCAGUGAAUCAUCGAAUCUUUGAACGCACAUUGCGCCCCUUGGUAUCCCGAGGGGCAUGCCUGUUCGAGCGUCAUUUCACCACUCAAGCCUGGCUUGGUGUUGGGCGACGUCCCAUUUGGGGACGCGUCUCGAAACGCUCGGCGGCGUGGCACCGGCUUUAAGCGUAGCAGAAUCUUUCGCUUUGGAAGUCGGGGCCCCGUCUGCCGGAAGACCUGCUCGCAAGGUUGACCUCGGAUCAGGCAGGGAUACCCGCUGAACUUAAGCAUAUCAAUAAGCGGAGGA
Molecule: unclassified non-coding RNA, 329 nt
Filed under: soil metagenome
Description: partial contains 5.8S ribosomal RNA, internal transcribed spacer 2, and large subunit ribosomal RNA
Rfam family: 5.8S ribosomal RNA (bases 1-120)
Source: RNAcentral